CUCUCUCUCUCAGCCCUCACUAUUGGGAAGCAAGUUGCCAUCUUAUGAGCAGGGAGAGGCCCACAUCCCAAGGAGCUGAUGUUUCUGGCCAACAGCCAGUGAGGACCUGAGGCCUGCCAGGUCACAUGAGGGAGCCUGGAAGUGGGUCUUCUCAGUCCUGCCAACAGCUGUGAGUGAGCAUGGACGCAGAUCCUCUCCCAGUGGAGCAUUUGGAUGACCACGGCUCUGGCUAACACCUCACUUACAGCCUUGGGAGAGAUUCUGAGUCAGAGGCAUCCAGCUAAAUUGACCCACAGACACGGUAAAUCAGGGAUUUCUUCUUGGUUUGGAUCCACUGUUGAUUUUAGGUUACAAAAAGAUGGCAGAUUGCAUCUUGGGCACUCUCUUGUAUGACUUUUUGGAGAAGCCAGUUUUCAUGUUGUGAGAGGCCUGGCAGAGGGGCCCAAAUGAGUUCGCUGGGAAGCGGAUCACAGAAACCAUGAGGUCCCGGUUUAUGACUGCAAAACAAUGGUUUAAACAGUAUUCAUUCUGGAACAUCACUCAAUUUCACUAAUACUAGUAAGUAAAUAAAUAUGUAUGCGUGUGUCUAUAUAUAAAGUAAGUAUGAAAUAACUGUUUCAAAUAAAUAACUCCUUCCCAACAUUUUUUUUUUCAGGAUCCCAAACACUCUGAUAUCAGAAUGUUCUUCCCUAUUCGGGCUAGUUUAUAAAGUUCAUUUGAGAGUAUUCUGAAAUUAAAUAAAACAAACCUAAAACAGUAAGACUGCA
RNAcentral lists this long non-coding RNA (767 nucleotides) under Homo sapiens (human). RNAcentral's name for it is "HSALNT0342073". Lineage: Eukaryota; Metazoa; Chordata; Mammalia; Primates; Hominidae. The record is from RNAcentral.